AGAGUUUGAUCAUGGCUCAGAACGAACGCUGGCGGCAUGCCUAACACAUGCAAGUCGAACGAGACCUUCGGGUCUAGUGGCGCACGGGUGCGUAACGCGUGGGAACCUGCCUUUAGGUUCGGAAUAACUCAGAGAAAUUUGAGCUAAUACCGGAUAAUGUCUUCGGACCAAAGAUUUAUCGCCUUUAGAUGGGCCCGCGUAAGAUUAGCUAGUUGGUGGGGUAAAGGCCUACCAAGGCGACGAUCCUUAGCUGGUCUGAGAGGAUGAUCAGCCACACUGGGACUGAGACACGGCCCAGACUCCUACGGGAGGCAGCAGUGGGGAAUAUUGGACAAUGGGCGAAAGCCUGAUCCAGCAAUGCCGCGUGAGUGAUGAAGGCCUUAGGGUUGUAAAGCUCUUUUACCCGGGAUGAUAAUGACAGUACCGGGAGAAUAAGCUCCGGCUAACUCCGUG
This 453-nucleotide ribosomal RNA is filed under the name uncultured bacterium. Its description in RNAcentral is "bacterial SSU rRNA". It matches the Rfam family "Bacterial small subunit ribosomal RNA", at positions 8 to 507 of the family's 1533-position model. The record is from RNAcentral.